AGUCGAGCGGACAGAAGGGAGCUUGCUCCCGGAUGUUAGCGGCGGACGGGUGAGUAACACGUGGGUAACCUGCCUGUAAGACUGGGAUAACUCCGGGAAACCGGAGCUAAUACCGGAUAGUUCCUUGAACCGCAUGGUUCAAGGAUGAAAGACGGUUUCGGCUGUCACUUACAGAUGGACCCGCGGCGCAUUAGCUAGUUGGUGAGGUAACGGCUCACCAAGGCGACGAUGCGUAGCCGACCUGAGAGGGUGAUCGGCCACACUGGGACUGAGACACGGCCCAGACUCCUACGGGAGGCAGCAGUAGGGAAUCUUCCGCAAUGGACGAAAGUCUGACGGAGCAACGCCGCGUGAGUGAUGAAGGUUUUCGGAUCGUAAAGCUCUGUUGUUAGGGAAGAACAAGUGCAAGAGUAACUGCUUGCACCUUGACGGUACCUAACCAGAAAGCCACGGCUAACUACGUGCCAGCAGCCGCGGUAAUACGUAGGUGGCAAGCGUUGUCCGGAAUUAUUGGGCGUAAAGGGCUCGCAGGCGGUUUCUUAAGUCUGAUGUGAAAGCCCCCGGCUCAACCGGGGAGGGUCAUUGGAAACUGGGAAACUUGAGUGCAGAAGAGGAGAGUGGAAUUCCACGUGUAGCGGUGAAAUGCGUAGAGAUGUGGAGGAACACCAGUGGCGAAGGCGACUCUCUGGUCUGUAACUGACGCUGAGGAGCGAAAGCGUGGGGAGCGAACAGGAUUAGAUACCCUGGUAGUCCACGCCGUAAACGAUGAGUGCUAAGUGUUAGGGGGUUUCCGCCCCUUAGUGCUGCAGCUAACGCAUUAAGCACUC
This 827-nucleotide ribosomal RNA is filed under the name Bacillus sp. U0992. RNAcentral describes it as "bacterial SSU rRNA". It matches the Rfam family "Bacterial small subunit ribosomal RNA", at positions 60 to 869 of the family's 1533-position model. Lineage: Bacteria; Bacillati; Bacillota; Bacilli; Caryophanales; Bacillaceae. The record is from RNAcentral.